This 472-nucleotide long non-coding RNA is filed under the name Homo sapiens (human). RNAcentral describes it as "novel transcript". The record is from RNAcentral. Lineage: Eukaryota; Metazoa; Chordata; Mammalia; Primates; Hominidae.
UAUAUUUUUGAAUAUUAAGAAAAUUAAAGCUCCAUGGCAAUUGAAGGACCUCCUGCAAAACAUCCUUCCUUGAAGCCUAGCACUGAAAUGGAAGAUCCUGCUGUGAAAGGAGCAGUACAAAGAAAGAAUGUACAGACAUUGAGAGCAGUUCAUUUGAACUAAAACAGUGAAUUUGUCAACAGAAAAAGCCUUACCAGUGGCUUCAGAGGAAGAGCAACAAAGGCGUGAAAGAAGUGAAAAGAAGCAACCACAGGUCAAAGAAGGAAAUAAUACAUACAAAAGUGAAAAAAUACAACUAUCAGAAAAUAUAUGUCAUAGUACAUCUUCUUCUGCUGCUGACAGAUUAACCCAACAAAGAAAGAUUGGGAAAACAUAACCUCAGCAAUUUCCCAAGAAACUGAAGGAAGAGCAUGAUAGAUGCACCUUAAAACAAGAAAAUGAAGAAAAAACAAAUGUUAAUAUGCUGUACAAA